AACGAACGCUGGCGGCAUGCCUAACACAUGCAAGUCGAACGAGACCUUCGGGUUUAGUGGCGCACGGGUGCGUAACGCGUGGGAACCUGCCCUUAGGUUCGGAAUAACUCCCCGAAAGGGGUGCUAAUACCGGAUAAUGUCUUCGGACCAAAGAUUUAUCGCCUUUGGAUGGGCCCGCGUUGGAUUAGCUAGUGGGUAGGGUAAAAGCCUAUCAAGGCGACGAUCUAUAGCUGGUCUGAGAGGAUGAUCAGCCACACUGGGAGUGAGACACGGCCCAGACUCAUGCGGGAGGCAGGAGUGGGGAAUAUUGGACAAGGGGCGAGAGCCUGAUCCAGCAGUGCCGCGUGAGUGAUGGAGGCCUUAGGGUUGUACAGCUCUUUUACCCGAGAUGAUAAUGACAGUACCGGGAGAAUAAGCUCCGGCUAACUCCGUG
Molecule: ribosomal RNA, 433 nt
Filed under: uncultured bacterium
Lineage: Bacteria
Description: partial 16S ribosomal RNA
Rfam family: Bacterial small subunit ribosomal RNA
Source: RNAcentral